This 801-nucleotide ribosomal RNA is filed under the name uncultured bacterium. Its description in RNAcentral is "bacterial SSU rRNA". It matches the Rfam family "Bacterial small subunit ribosomal RNA", at positions 68 to 865 of the family's 1533-position model. The record is from RNAcentral.
GAAACCCGCAAGGGCGAGUACAGUGGCGCACGGGUGCGUAACACGUGGAUAAUCUGCCCUGAAGCCCGGAAUAACUCCCCGAAAGGGGUGCUAAUGCCGGAUGAGACCACGGGGACUUCGGUCCCUGAGGGAAAAGGUGGCCUCUGCAUGCAAGCUAUCACUUCAGGAUGAGCCCGCGGCCCAUCAGCUAGUUGGCGGGGUAAUGGCCCACCAAGGCUACGACGGGUAGCUGGUCUGAGAGGACGAUCAGCCACACUGGAACUGAGACACUGCCCAGACUCCUACGGGAGGCUGCAGUCGAGAAUCUUCGGCAAUGGGCGCAAGCCUGACCGAGCGACGCCGCGUGGAGGACGAAGGCCUUCGGGUUGUAAACUCCUGUCGAGGGGGAAGAAGGGGUAACACCUUGACUGAUCCCUGGAGGAAGCACGGGCUAAGUUCGUGCCAACAGCCGCGGUAAGACGAACCGUGCGAACGUUAUUCGGAAUCACUGGGCUUAAAGCGCGUGUAGGCGGAACGGCACGUCGGUCGCUGAAAUCCCCCGGCUCAACCGGGGAACGGGCGCCGAUACGACCGUUCUCGAGGGACGUAGGGGGACCUGGAACUUCCGGUGGAGCGGUGAAAUGCGUUGAGAUCGGAAGGAACGCCCGUGGCGAAAGCGAGGUCCUGGACGUUUUCUGACGCUGAGACGCGAAAGCCAGGGGAGCGAACGGGAUUAGAUACCCCGGUAGUCCUGGCCGUAAACGAUGGGCACUGGGUAGGGGGCUCGCCGAUGGGCUCCCUGCCGAAGCGAAAGCGUGAAGU